UACAGUAUGAAUUAGAAACCUACGUUGAGGCAUACUUGCUGUUCCAAUCACGUUCAAACAGAUCUUGCAAUUCACUAAUAAUGGUUUUCUCUGUAUCAAACGACGAUAACACCAUCCCUACACCGGCCGUAUUAAUAAAAUAAUCUCCUGACCAGUUGGAGGUACCGAUAUACGCCGUGUUAUCCGUCACCAUGUACUUAUUGUGGUUAACGCGCCCGUACGGAAUCUUGCGUUGGUCUGCGGUGGCGGGUACGAUGAAACGUCGUACCUGGAUAUCAACGUCGUUAAGUGAGUUAGAGAGGGCUUCCAGCGAUUUUAAAAAAUAAUCUUCUGAAGGACGCGAGUGAUCCCAUAACGAGAUAAGCAAGCGAAUUGAUACCUUACGCUCGAUUGCUGCCUUCCGCAAUGCAUCAUCAAUCACAGGCCAGUAUCUAAACGAUCGUAAUACGGAGAAGGCAAUAAUUCAACACCUUUAACAUCAUUCGUUCGCAAAUGCUACUCACCGCGUAAAGCGCGUGUAAAUUGUCAGAGGAAAAUAAUCCAUAACAGACACGUGUAUGAAACGACUCGCUGCACUGAUGACUUUUAAAAUUGCGUCACAAUCAUCAGUACGCGUCGCCGGUGACAUCUGCGGUGAAAAGUAAGUCUGGAGCGUAUACGCACCGUUAAAGUGCACACGAGCAGGUGUGGUAUCGUUGAAGUUUGCCUCAUAUUCCUUUGGCCACCGAGUUGCUUGGAGCAACUGAUGGAAAAUGGCUUCGCCCUCCUUCGCUGAUGAAUGGUUGUAGACAUCAGAGCCUUUCAACGUCCAAUAGAAUGAAGCAAUCUUAAUAGUGGUGUUGGCCAUCGCUAGCAAUGCGCUCCACGCAUCGUACGUUGUUUGGAACGUUGGACUACUUGAGGGGAAAGUUAAUCCUUCAGGUAAACUUUCCACCAGCGCAAUCUGGCACCGAUCGGGACACAUCUGUACCUGCUCCUUAGAUACCAAUCGGUACUCCGAAAACGAUGAACCCGAGGCCCGCUCGCUAGGAUCGUCUAUCAAUGGUAACAACACAACCAGCACGAUCAACACCAAAAUGAUGGAUAUCGGAAUGCACGACGACCAGCCGGAGCCGUGUCUUGGAUACGAUCAAGCUGGAUUUGGAUGUUCAUCUUUUCACAGUUCGUAGCAGAAUGAAGUCAAACUUUCGUUACAAUUAUUAGCACGCCAACUCAAGAAUAAACAAAACAUGACACACAACAGUUUGUAUGUUCAUAAACAUAUGGAACGUUGUUUGAGAAAGGAGCUUUCAAGUACUGUCAAAUAUUAGACCAUCUGGCACAGCCAGGAUUGUUUGGAGGCAUGCCACGUUAUAACACAUGGGCUGAAAAGGCGCGGGCCUAAUACAUAAAUGGUGCUAGUCUUAUAACAUUCACUGCUUUUUCAGUUAUUACAUUCCUUUAAAAGAAAUCUGUUCAAAUUUAAUGAUAUUUGUACUCAUAACUUUGAGAGUGAAGUUGCGUGAGUUUACUGGCAUUGUAAAGAUAUUAAAAGAACGU
This is a long non-coding RNA of Anopheles bellator, 1539 nucleotides long. RefSeq lists it as uncharacterized. NCBI's taxonomy places the organism in Eukaryota, Metazoa, Arthropoda, Insecta, Diptera, Culicidae. The record is from RefSeq and is a predicted model, not a curated record. The transcript is spliced from 4 exons.